CUUGGUCAUUUAGAGGAAGUAAAAGUCGUAACAAGGUUUCCGUAGGUGAACCUGCGGAAGGAUCAUUACCGAGUGAGGGCCCUCUGGGUCCAACCUCCCACCCGUGUUUAUUUACCUUGUUGCUUCGGCGGGCCCGCCUUAACUGGCCGCCGGGGGGCUUCCGCCCCCGGGCCCGCGCCCGCCGAAGACACCCCCGAACUCUGUCUGAAGAUUGCAGUCUGAGUGAAAAUAUAAAUUAUUUAAAACUUUCAACAACGGAUCUCUUGGUUCCGGCAUCGAUGAAGAACGCAGCGAAAUGCGAUACGUAAUGUGAAUUGCAAAUUCAGUGAAUCAUCGAGUCUUUGAACGCACAUUGCGCCCCCUGGUAUUCCGGGGGGCAUGCCUGUCCGAGCGUCAUUUCUGCCCUCAAGCCCGGCUUGUGUGUUGGGCCCCGUCCCCCGAUCCCGGGGGACAGGCCCGAAAGGCAGCGGCGGCACCGCGUCCGGUCCUCGAGCGUAUGGGGCUUUGUCACCCGCUCUGUAGGCCCGGCCGGCGCCUGCCACCAACCCAAAUUUUUUAUCCAGGUUGACCUCGGAUCAGGUAGGGAUACCCGCUGAACUUAAGCAUAUCAAUAAGCGGAGGAA
This 623-nucleotide ribosomal RNA is filed under the name fungal sp. APA-2013. RNAcentral's name for it is "eukaryotic LSU rRNA". The stretch from base 244 to 396 matches the Rfam family "5.8S ribosomal RNA". The record is from RNAcentral. Lineage: Eukaryota; Fungi.